GAUGAACGCUGGCGGCGUGCUUAACACAUGCAAGUCGAACGAGAAAUGGAGACGGAAACCUUCGGGCGGAAGGCUUCAUUUCGAGUGGCGGACGGGUGAGUAACGCGUGGGUAACCUGCCUCAUACAGGGGGAUAACAGUUGGAAACGACUGUUAAUACCGCAUAAGACCACAGCACCGCAUGGUGCGGGGGUAAAAACUCCGGUGGUAUGAGAUGGACCCGCAUUUGAUUAGCCAGUUGGCGGGGUAACGGCCCACCGCAGCGACGAUCGAUAGCCGAGCUGAGAGGAUGACCCGCCACAUUGGGACUGGGACACAGCCCGAACUCCUACGGGAGGCAGCAGUGGGGAAUAUUGCACAAUGGGGGAAACCCUGAUGCAGCGACGCCGCGUGAGUGAAGAAGUACUUCGGUAUGUAAAGCUCUAUCAGCAGGGAAGAAAAUGACGGUACCUGAGGAAGAAGCCCCGGCUAACUACGUG
Molecule: ribosomal RNA, 478 nt
Filed under: uncultured bacterium
Lineage: Bacteria
Description: partial 16S ribosomal RNA
Rfam family: Bacterial small subunit ribosomal RNA
Source: RNAcentral